AUUAGAACGCAGGUGGCUGAAAUGUUAGGAUGCAGAAGGGUGAACUGGGAACAUAUAUUAUGUUGUUUGGCUGGGAUAUGUACGCAGAAGAUCCAGAGAACAGAGUUGAAUUCUUUCUACUGGCAAACAACACCUAAGAUUGAAUAAGAGAUACUUCCUUGACUGCACUCCUUUUAACUGACGGCCAGAGAUCAUUUUUGAAUAAAGGAUGCAUGAAGAUAGCUCAAAAAACUCUUCAGAAUAGAGAAUCACUUCGGCAUGGCAAUACUCCUACAUCAAACAUUGAACAGUUGGUGGCCUGAAUUCCCAACAGGACCCCUUGGCAAAGCAGAAAUGCUCUUAUUGAAGGACAACUGGUUCCAAAAUAAGAGAUAUUGUGACAGAGGAAUAAAGGUAGACCUCAGCUACGCGACUGGGAAAGAGAAUGAACUACAAAUACAACGUAUGGAUAUUUUGUCAGAGAGGAAAAUGAACUUUUAAUUGCUCUGUG
Molecule: long non-coding RNA, 490 nt
Organism: Pantherophis guttatus
Lineage: Eukaryota; Metazoa; Chordata; Lepidosauria; Squamata; Colubridae
Source: RefSeq, a predicted model, not a curated record